This 496-nucleotide ribosomal RNA is filed under the name uncultured bacterium. RNAcentral's name for it is "partial 16S ribosomal RNA". It matches the Rfam family "Bacterial small subunit ribosomal RNA", at positions 28 to 507 of the family's 1533-position model. The record is from RNAcentral.
GACGAACGCUGGCGGCGUGCCUAAUACAUGCGAGUAGAACGCUGAAGAGAGGAGCUUGCUCUUCUUGGAUGAGUUGCGAACGGGUGAGUAACGCGUAGGUAACCUGCCUUGUAGCGGGGGAUAACUAUUGGAAACGAUAGCUAAUACCGCAUAACAAUGGAUGACACAUGUCAUUUAUUUGAAAGGGGCAAUUGCUCCACUACAAGAUGGACCUGCGUUGUAUUAGCUAGUAGGUGAGGUAAUGGCUCACCUAGGCGACGAUACAUAGCCGACCUGAGAGGGUGAUCGGCAACACUGGACUGGAACAACGGCCCGGACUCCUACGGGAGGCAGCAGUAGGGAAUCUUCGGCAAUGGGGCAACCCUGACCGAGCAACGCCGCGUGAGUGAAGAAGGUUUUCGGAUCGUAAAGCUCUGUUGUAAGUCAAGAACGGGUGUGAGAGUGGAAAGUUCACACUGUGACGGUAGCUUACCAGAAAGGGACGGCUAACUACGUG